CUGCGGGGUGCACGUGCCCAGCGUGGCUGGGCUCACACUGAUGGACUGGCAAAAUGGGGAGGGCCAGGGUUGAGGCUGUUCCUCACAGACACCAUCUGCUGGUUUGAGGAGGGGCCCCAGGCCCACAGCAUGACUCCCUGCUCCUCAGAUAAGUAUGCUGUGCGCUUCAUCCCUCGGGAGAAUGGCGUUUACCUGAUUGACGUCAAGUUCAACGGCACCCACAUCCCUGGAAGCCCCUUCAAGAUCCGAGUUGGGGAGCCUGGGCAUGGAGGGGACCCAGGCUUGGUGUCUGCUUACGGAGCAGGUCUGGAAGGCGGUGUCACAGGUAAGUCUGUCGGUGCGGCUGCAGGUGUGCACACAGCUGCUAGGCCCUUGCCUCCAAGCUCUUGGUGACAACAGGAGGCACCUGGAGGUGACAAGCCUGCGCUGGGUGGCCGAGGACAGGGAGGCAGGCCAGUCUGGCUCUGCCUGACCUCCUGUGCUCCCAGGGAACCCAGCUGAGUUCGUCGUGAACACGAGCAAUGCGGGAGCUGGUGCCCUGUCGGUGACCAUUGACGGCCCCUCCAAGGUGAAGAUGGAUUGCCAGGAGUGCCCUGAGGGCUACCGCGUCACCUAUACCCCCAUGGCACCUGGCAGCUACCUCAUCUCCAUCAAGUACGGCGGCCCCUACCACAUUGGGGGCAGCCCCUUCAAGGCCAAAGUCACAGGCCCCCGUCUCGUCAGCAACCACAGCCUCCACGAGACAUCAUCAGUGUUUGUAGACUCUCUGACCAAGGCCACCUGUGCCCCCCAGCAUGGGGCCCCGGGUCCUGGGCCUGCUGACGCCAGCAAGGUGGUGGCCAAGGGCCUGGGGCUGAGCAAGGCCUACGUAGGCCAGAAGAGCAGCUUCACAGUAGACUGCAGCAAAGCAGGCAACAACAUGCUGCUGGUCGGGGUUCAUGGCCCAAGGACCCCCUGCGAGGAGAUCCUGGUGAAGCACGUGGGCAGCCGGCUCUACAGCGUGUCCUACCUGCUCAAGGACAAGGG
RNAcentral lists this small RNA (1026 nucleotides) under Pan troglodytes (chimpanzee). RNAcentral's name for it is "retained intron". The record is from RNAcentral. Lineage: Eukaryota; Metazoa; Chordata; Mammalia; Primates; Hominidae.